UUUCCUAAUCAAAAGAUAGGAGAGCACCCCUUCUCCCGAAGUUACGGGGUUAUUUUGCCGAGUUCCUUCGACAUGGUUCUCUCAAGUACCCUAGUAUACUCUACUUGUUCACCUGUGUCGGUUUGGGGUACGGUUAGUUCACCAGGAGGAUUGCCCUCCCAAUUCGAAGUUUUUUCCUAGAAAUUUCAACCUUGUUGACUAUGACAACAGUCGUGACUAUAAACAGACUUAUGACUAUGGCAGGGCGGUACGCUCUGCUCUCUCGCGACCCCUACUCUAAUCAAAAGACUAAAGGCCCCUACUGAAGAUAGGUCGCCAAACUACGACCGAGAGUUUCGCCUUUUGAAGUGCCAGUCGCGUAGGGCGACCGGGCCAGGCCGAGUCAGAAAGGCUUUGAUGACUCAAGGUUCAUAUUAGGGAAAGGAGAGUGAUGGGAAGAGGGGGCAGCCCUCGGCCCGAUCAUCCAAUUCGCUCCAACAGACAUGCAUGGUUCUGUAGUCAAAGCAACUUCGUCACUUUCGUGUACCCAUCGGACGGCAGCCCUUUCGGGGGUUCCUUAGGGACCGAUUCACUCUGUGUAGAUUGACUGAAUGCAGAAAACCUUCUACUGGCAGGCGAUCAUGUUUUUCAAAAGACUUUUCGUUCUCAUGUCAACAUUCUCGCUUCUGAUAUCUCCAGGUCUUGUCACCAAAAACCUUCCCCGAUUGACAGAACGUUCCGCUACUGAUACUUGAAAAAGCAGCUUUCAAGGUCUCGUCACUUCGGUGAAUCACUUGAGCCCUGAUAUAUUUCCGGUGCCAUGGAGCUAGACUAAUGAGCUAUUACGCUUUCUUCAAAGGAUGGCUGCUUCCAAGCCCACCUCCUGGUUGUCAUCGCUCGAUCACUUCCUUUUCCACUAAGUGAUUUCUUAGGGACCUUAGCGUAUGAUCUGGGCUAUUUUCCUCUCGACUUUGGAUCUUAGCACCCAAAAAGUCUAUCUGUACAAACGAUCUAGGAUUGUAUUCGGAGUUUCCCUAGGGUUGGUAAGGCGAAAUGAGGCCACCCUAGCCCAUUGAGUGCUCUUCCUCGGGCCAUCGACAUCAUACGCUCUACUGAAAUAGAUUUUGCGGAAAACCAGCUAUAUCCGAUCUUGGUUGGCCUUUCACCCCUAGCCACAAGUCAUCCCCGUAUUUUGCCACAUACGUGGGUUCAGUCCUCCAAGGCCUAUUAGAGCUCUCUUCAACCUGCUCAUGGCUAGAUCGAUCAGUUUUGGGUCAAAUAGGAAGAACUAGAAGAUUCCACCUCUGGAAAGUGCCUACACCUAAUGGCUUAAGCCGAUGUUCCCAUUUUCUCGCUGACCCAUCAUGCAAAAGGUACGUUGUUAGAGUGAGUGCGCUUUACAUAAAGUAAAGGCUCUAAGCUCCGCUCCUUCGACUGAUUGUUCGCAUCGGAUCUCAGGUUCUCUAUUGUACUCCCUAAAUAGGGUUCUUUUCACCUUUCCCUCACGGUACUUGUACGCUAUAUGUCAUUGAGGAAUACUUAGGCUUAGAGGGUUGUCCCCCUUUCUCGCAUAAAAGCGAUCAGAAUUCGAACACGCCGCAUUUUACUAGAAAGGAUCGAACCAUGGGAACGAAUCUACAGGGCUAUCACCUUCUUUGGCCAGAUCUUCCAAUCUUUUCACAAUUACAGUUCACUGCGCCCGCUCCUUUAAAGGGCGGUGGCUUAAAAGCUUACCUUAUUAUUAGAGAAAUGUUUGGAACCCUAACCAACGUUUUGGAUUUUGGAGUUUUCGCCCCAACCUAGGUUAGGGGGUCAUUAGACCGUAGCUUGCUGCUGAAAAACGUUGCUAGGCUAGCGCGGCUCACUUCGCUCUUCAAGCUCCGCCCCCCUUACUCAACCUCAACAUCUAUAAAAAAAAAGCCAUUUCUCCUUUUCUAAAUAAGGCAAGCUUUGAAGCCGUAGCUUGCUGGUUUUUCCAUCAUCCAAUCCACAACAAAUCGAAUGAAACCUGGCGAAAAAGAAGUGAACACUUUGCUGAGGAACGAAGCUUCGUGUUUUUUUUCUUCAAACCCCCAAUCCGCUCUCGCUCGCCGCUACUAACGGGGUCUCGGUUGAUUUCCCUUCCUUUAGCUACUAAGAUGUUUCAGUUCACUAAGUUUGAAAAGUCCAAAGAGCGCAGACUAGCCACUACGCUUGGAUACGGUUUCCCGAUCGGAGAUCCAUAGAUCACAGACGGUAUCUCCCCAUGGCCUUUCGCCUCUGAAAGCGUCCUUCAUUCUCAAUGCCCGGUUAUCUAUCCAAUGCAUUCUUUUCGAUCUUGUACCCUAUGUAGGCUUGCAAAGCAUAGGCAUCACAAGCGGUACACUGAACACCAACUCAAUCUCGAUGAAAAAAAGGAAAAGCAAGUACAUCCUUAACGGCCUCUAUUCCUGACGUGAACGGCCGCUUUCUUGGAACUAAUUCAUAGGCACUUUCCAUUAGUUAGACUUCAUACACUAUAUAAAUAAAUAGUUGAAGCGUGCGAUAGAAAGCGAAAAAAUGAAUUGAUUGACUAUUGAGUGCAAGCCCUUAAAUAGACGACUAUGGGUAGUUCAGGUGCGCUUAAAGUCAACUACAACUAGAAGGCAUGCCGAUCUUGCCACCAACAAACCUUUGACUUUGACUGUGAAAAGUGAAAAAUAGGCACACAGUAGUUUAGAGUAGAAGGAGUGAAAGCCACUUGACUGUAAGGAGAGGAGCUCUAAGUUAGAAUUCAAUAGUCUAAGAAAUAGUCAUCUGUACGUAACAGCUACUAGUAUCAUCACCCUGCAAAGAGGUGGAACCAACCAAGACUGAACACUAGCCCCAUUUUUUAGACGGGUUGGGACCGGCCUUCUAUCCCGGUGAACAAUGUUCCACUGAUUAGGCGGGGAGAGGAUUCGAACCUGCAAUCUUCAGGUCAUGAGCCUGAUGAGUUGACCAAUUCCUCUACCCCGCUUCUUCCCCUUCUCUUUCGAACACCAAAAACCAAGGUUCGACUUGCAUGUGUUAAGCAUAUAGUCUGAGUAGCAUGAUUGGAGCUUCUUAGCACUUAGGCCACUACCUAAAAGUAAGCUUUUUGCUCUUUUCCUCUUACAUAACUUAGAUGGAGGAGAUAGUAAGCAAGACUUUCUACGCAACGAUUUCUUCUUCUCUUAUGNNNNNNNNNNNNNNNNNNNNNNNNNNNNNNNNNNNNNNNNNNNNNNNNNNNNNNNNNNNNNNNNNNNNNNNNNNNNNNNNNNNNNNNNNNNNNNNNNNNNNNNNNNNNNNNNNNNNNNNNNNNNNNNNNNNNNNNNNNNNNNNNNNNNNNNNNNNNNNNNNNNNNNNNNNNNNNNNNNNNNNNNNNNNNNNNNNUAGAUUGGUUGGUUUUUCCAGUCAAAUAUAGUUGAUAAUCCCAUUUUCUAAUAUGAAUUUGAAUAGAUUCUCUUUAUUAUUAUAAAUAUAGCUUUUUUAUCUUCCACCUUAUCUCCACAACUUUGGGAGACCCCUUCCCCUUCCUCUUUUUUUUAUUUCAAGCAUGGACCUUAACUUAAAGUAGAAAUCAUUAGCUGUCAACUGUUCAUAGUCAGCAGUGGAAUAGGGCGUAGCUUUUAUUACUCAAGUUGCCCUCUCAUGGUAAAAUGUGAAAAAGAAUUGCUUUUAUUUAGCAACAGUCUUAUAAGGAUGAUGCUUCCCCUGUGCCUUAUCAAUAACUAAUAAGGAAGACCGGGCUAAAGGUAACUACUUUUUGCUCACCCGGUGAAAGGCAUAGUAGGUAAAAAGUCUAUUGGUUGCUUUACUUCCUUACCUCGGGUAGGUUGAAAACGUUGCUAAGAAGAAAAGUUUUCUUUUCUCUUGCGACCUUCCACGCCAAGGAAGGUUGAAGGGAUCGAUCCCAAUAGCCUUUCACAAGGGGAAAGACCCAUUCUUUAUAGCCGUUACGAAAGCUCCCGAAGAGAAAGAGGUCUUUGCUGCUUGACUGCGUGAACCAGGUCUAAGUCUUGCAUUUGGCAUUCCCGCUGUUGACGUCCCAUCGAGUUAGCUAGUUAAGGGUGAAAGGGAUUUAGGAAUGAAUAGCAGGAAAAGUCCUUGCUAGGAAUUCUGGGUAACUUUCUGUAUUCCUUAAGGUUACAGGUGAAGCUGACUUCCUGCGGUAGCCCCUUCUGUAUUCCAGGUACCUACUCACAUGAGGCUAUCGGAGAAGGUGAGCGUGAGGCAAACGCACAGGCGGAUGGUUGAUUUGUGGCUAACGGCAGUGAAAGUGGUGGCAGCGCGUGGAAGGCCAGAAUUGAUUCACUGGGUGCAGCAGAGUAGCCCCGACAUUGGUUGGUGUUUGCAAAGGCCGGUGGGAGUUGGAAGGAAGAACGUCAGUCUUUGCGACCUCGGGUGCGCACCAAGUCGAAUUUCCAAGUUCUAUUCUCGGGAGUUAGUACUUCCCGCUUUCCUAUUUCUUUUCUCUGUGCUAGUUAAAUUGUUGUUAUUUUAGCUCGCAUUAGUUAAUCAUACUAUUAGCGUGCCUGUAGUUACAACUUGUUUUCUUCUAGUUUGGUCCGUUGCCUAUUUUUUGUUAGCAAUUUCCUUAGUAUGUCGUAGGUAUAGUGGUUGUGGUAUGGGAUGGUAGAGUAAGGUCAUGUCCUCGAAGGGGGGUUGGGGUAGGGGUGGGGCAGGGGACAGGGGGUGGUACGGGAGGCAAGGGGGGUAAAGGGAACAAGAGAGCCUAUAGGUUGAGAAAUGGGUCUUGGAACAUAGGUACAUUGACGAGUAAGUCUAUAGAGUUGGAGAAGAUUCUCCAAAAGAAGAAAUUCAGUAUAGCUUGUGUCCAGGAGACUAGGUGGGCAAGAUCGAAGGCAAGAGAUACGGAUAGGUAUAAGGUGUGGUAUUCUAGAGUCAUGAAGGGUAAGAAUGGAGUGGGCCUUUUGGUGGAUAGGGAACUUAGAGAGUUUGUGGUAGAGUUUAGGCGGGUGAAUGAUAGAUUAAUGUCUAUUAAGUUAGUGGUUGGAGAGUGCACCCUAAAUAUCAUUAGCGCUUACGCGCCACAAGCAUGCUUGGAUGAGGAGGUUAAGAGGCUCUUCUGGGAGGGGUUGGAUGAGAUUGUGCGUAGUAUUUCGCCUGCAUAGAGGUUAUUUAUCAAAGGGGAUUUCAAUGGUCAUAUUGGGUUGACUGCUGGUGGCUAUGGCGAGGUGCAUGACGGCUUUGGCUUUGGGGAUAGGAACGGAGGAGGUACUUCUCUAUUGGAUUUCGCUAAGGCAUUUGAGCUGGUGAUUGCGAACUCUAGUUUCCCAAAGAGGGAGGAGAUUUAGUCACUUUUCAAAGUACGGUGGCGAAGACUCAGAUUGAUUAUCUCCUUCUCAGGAUGUGUGAUAGAGGGCUGUGUAAGGUUUGCAAGGUUAUCCUAGGUGAGACCCUCGCGAUGCAGCAUAGGCUCUUGGUGAUGGACGUCGGUAUCAUGAUAAAGAGGAAGAAGAGGAUCGUACGAGGACGGUCGAGGAUCAGGUGGGGAGCCCUGACUAAGGAUAAAGCUCAGGAGUUGGAGGGGAGGUCGUCGGCUAUGGGAGCCUGGAGGACUAGUGAGGACGCGAGGGCUAUGUGGACAACGACAAUGAACUGUAUAAGGGAGGUGGCGAGAGAGGUGUUAGGGGUCUCGAAGGGUUACUCUAGCGGGCACAAAGGUGACUGGUGGUGGAAUGAUAUGGUCCAAGGUAAAGUGGAAGCGAAGAACGCGACGUACCUGAAGUUAGUAGGGAGUACAGGCGAGAAGGAGAGGAGAGUGAACAGGGACAGGUAUAAGAUAGCUAGGAAGGAGGCGAAGUUGGCAGUCACGGAGGGUAAGACUGCAGCAUUUGGUCAUCUAUACGAGAAAAUAGGGAACAAAGGCGGGGAUAAGAAGUUAUUCCGGCUGGCCAAGACGAGAGAGAGGAAGGCUCGGGAUCUGGACCAAGUGAGGUGCAUCAAAGACGAAGAUGGUAGAGUUUUGAUGGGAAAGGCUCAAAUCAAGCAGAGAUGGAAGACCUACUUUCAUAAAUUUCUAAAUGAAGAGGGAGACAGGGAUAUUGUGCUAGGUGAAUUGGAGCAUUUCGAGGAUCACCGAGACUUUAGGUAUUGUAGGUGCAUUAAGGUUGAGGAGGUCGUGAGGGCUAUGCGUAAGAUGAGUAGGGGCAGAGCAACCGGGCCAUACGAAAUUCUAGUAAAAUUCCGGAGGUAUAUGGAUAGAGCAGGCUUGGAGUGCCUGACUGGGCUAUUUAAUGUUAAAAUGAAGAGGAUGCCGAAUGAGUGGAGGUGGAGUACGGUGGUACCGUUGUACAAGAACAAAGGUGAUAUCCAGAGUUGCAACAACUAUAGGGGUAUCAAGUUACUAAGUCAUACUAUGAAAGUGAAGGAGAGGGUGGUGGAAGUAAGGGUGAGGAGGACAGUGUCUAUAUCCGACAAUCAGUUCGGGUGCAUGCCGGGUCGUUCGACUACGAAAGUGAUCCACCUUAUUAGGAAGUUGGUGGAACAGCACAAGGAUAGGAAGCAGGAUCUGCACAUGGUGUUUAUUGACCUGGAGAAAGCGUAUGACAAGGUCCCUAGGGAGGUUCUUUGGAGAUGAUUGGAGGCCAAAGGUGUGCAGGUUGCUUACACUAGAGCGAUUAAGGACAUGUAUAAUGGCGCUAAGACUCGGGUUAGGACUGUGUGAGGCGAUUCGGAGCACUUUUUGGUUGUUAUGGGAUUACACCAAGGAUCUGCGCUCAGCCCGUUCUUAUUUGCUCUGGUGAUAGACGCACUGACACACCAUAUUCAAGGGGAGGUCCCAUGAUGUAUGUUGUUCGCUGAUGAUAUUAUUCUUAUUGAUGAGAUGCGAGGCAGCAUUAACGAGAGGCUGGAGGUUUGGAGACAAGCCCUUGAGUCUAAGGGUUUCAAGUUGAGUAAGACUAAGACAGAAUACCUGAAGCAGAAGUUCAACGCUGAGUCGAGGGAAGCAGGCUUAGACGUGAGGCUUGGAUCACAGGUCAUCCCCAAGAGAUGCAGUUUCAAGUACCUUGGGUCGGUUAUCUAGGGGGAUAGGGAGAUCGACAAGGAUGUCACACACUAUAUAGGGGUAGGAUAAAUGAAAUAGAGGUUAACAUCUGGAGCCCUGUGUGACAAGAUAGUACCACCGAUACUCAAAAGUAAGUUUUAUAGAGUGGUGGUUAGACCGGCUAUGUUUUAUAGGGUAGAGUGUUGGCCAGUUAAGAACUCACAUAUCCAGAAGAUAAAAGUAGCAGAAAUGAGGAUAUUGAGGUGGAUGUGCAGGCACACUAGGAUGGAUAAGAUUAGGAAUGAAGAUAUUCGGGAGAAUGUGGGUAUGGCUCCUAUGGAUGACAAGAUGCGGAAAGCGAGGCUUAGAUGGUUCGAACACGUGCAAAAGAGAAGCCCAAAUGCCCCGGUCAGGAGGUGUGAGCAGUUGGCUUUGGCGGGUUCGAGAAGAGGGAGAGGGCAGCCUAAGAAGUAUUGGAGAGGGAUGAUCAGGUAGUACAUGGCGUGACUUUAGAUUUUUGAGAACAUGGCCCUUGAUAAGAAGGUGUGGAGAUUGAGAAUUGGGGUGGUAGGUUAGGAGGUAGCUGAGCAUUUUUCUAUUUCGUAACGGGUGUGAGGCUAGUCCGAUUAGGUAUUGUCUUAGGCUGCUAGCGAGUAUUAUUGUGUUCACACUAUCCUUCCGUUUUUCGUAGUACCAGAUUAUUUUUUCAUCUAUUUUCUAGUUCUUAUGAUGUUGCUAUUAUUCUUAUGGUUUCUAUUGAUGGUACUAAUAUAUUUUUUCUUUUCGUCUUCUUGAGCCGAGUAUCUAUCGAAAACAGCCUCUCUACUCUUCGGAGUAGGGGUAAGGUCUGCGUACAGACCACCCUCUCCAGACUCCACUUAUGGGAAUUCACUGGGUGAUNNNNNNNNNNNNNNNNNNNNNNNNNNNNNNNNNNNNNNNNNNNNNNNNNNNNNNNNNNNNNNNNNNNNNNNNNNNNNNNNNNNNNNNNNNNNNNNNNNNNNNNNNNNNNNNNNNNNNNNNNNNNNNNNNNNNNNNNNNNNNNNNNNNNNNNNNNNNNNNNNNNNNNNNNNNNNNNNNNNNNNNNNNNNNNNNNNNNNNNNNNNNNNNNNNNNNNNNNNNNNNNNNNNNNNNNNNNNNNNNNNNNNNNNNNNNNNNNNNNNNNNNNNNNNNNNNNNNNNNNNNNNNNNNNNNNNNNNNNNNNNNNNNNNNNNNNNNNNNNNNNNNNNNNNNNNNNNNNNNNNNNNNNNNNNNNNNNNNNNNNNNNNNNNNNNNNNNNNNNNNNNNNNNNNNNNNNNNNNNNNNNNNNNNNNNNNNCGCCAAACCAAACAAAACUAAAAGAUUUCAGCAUUAAGAAAUUACUAUUAUAUAGAAGUGGGAGUGAAAUGGGACGAACACGGGUAAAGUGGUAAUUAUGAAUGUUCGUCAUGUGCAUUUUUUUUAUUUCACUCUUCAAUAUCAGCCAUUUCAUUCUCCUCAUUUUCCUGACACGUGUUGGUCUUUAUUUUUUUAUCUCCCACUUCCAUUUUUUGACUUCAAUAUCAGCCAUCUCGCUGAUUUCCUUCUUCUUCAAUGCUCUCUUCUUCUUCUUCUUCUUCUCUGGUUUUUCCCUCUUCUUAAUUUUGUUGUUCUUUUCAUUUUGGUUCUUGAAAAACUAUGAGCUUUGUUUCACGAUUCUUUUUCUAUAUGUAUUCUUGGUCCGUCUGAUGUUACAGAUUUCUGAAGUAUUUCAUGUGAGUAAUUUCUUUUACUUUAUGAAAAAUUGAUAUUUUAACCUAAGAUUUUAAAUUCGAGUUUUACGAAUUCAAUGUGACCAAGCAAUUGAAAGACACGUUGGGGUUUUUGGAGUGCAGGAGGAAUAAACGGGUGAAGGUUGCAAGGAAGCUGCUUCAUAGUGAUCUAUGGGCGGCUUAUAUUGAUAGGUAAUGAAUGAAUAUUUCUUCCUGAGAAAACUAAUAGGAACUUUUUAUGGGCUCUUUUAAUUUUUUAUAUCAAUUAUCAUGAUUUUUGUUAAUUGGUAAUAAGUGGAUUGUAAUUACGAGUUUCAGAUACAUUGGUAUUUCAUUUAUAAGGAAAUGGUUUCAGGAUGAUAACCUCCUAAACAUGCUUCAUAUAACUUUUUUUUGAAUGUUAGUUUGGUUUCUACUUUCAUCCUGUCUGGUUCGUAUCUUGCGUACUUAUGAAUAUUUUUUUUGAUUUAUCACUGGUUUGCAUUUACAGUAUCUAAGAUUCCAUAGAUAUUGUCAGUUCAAUUCUUCUCCCCUUUCUUCUACUGUUCUUAACUUUAUUGUUUCUUUGUUCGCAUUUCUCCCUCUAUUUGGCAUAAAGCUUUCUUUAAAUGUGUGAGUUUUAUUUGGUCAAUGUUUAAACAUAGAUCUACACUGAUACUCAGGCCAACUAAAUUCUUCAAAAAAUUAAAAAGAAAACAAAAUAUGUAAGAUAAACAGGGUAAAUUGUCCUUACAGAACUAAAAAGACCUACAUUUUUAGUUUUAGUUGUUAAUUCCCUCGACUGGCAAACUGCGGCCUCUUCAGUUAUAAUAACAUGAAAGGACAUAAGGGUGUUGUUGCUAUCUCUAAACUUGUGAAGCACUCUUCAAUGUUAGAGGAUUUCAGGUGUUCAUCUACAAUGAUUGGAUCUGAUGAAGAUAAGGGUGUUGUAUACUCUAUUUCUCAUUUGAAGUAUGCACCAACUUAAAGGAGCUUGAUUGGCAUGACAAGAUGUUUAUUGAGGAAGCAUAAAUUGUGUUGAGCAAAGUCAUAUCAACUCUAUUUUUCAAACUUAACUGAAAUCCAGCCGAGUCACCUGAAUUUGGGAGGAUAAGGACUCCACCUUAAUAAAUUUGUUUCAUCCCUGAAGUUCUAGAAGACAUCACCAUCAAACCUGCUCUUGCUUUGGCCACCUGUAUAACUGCAAAAUAAUUUCUUACCAAGUUGAACUUUGCAAAGAAUGAAUUGAAAGAUGAGGGUGCUGUCUUAAUUGCAAAGGCAUUAAAAGAUUUAAGAUUUCCUCGGAUAGGGCAGAAAUGAAAAGUUAAUUGCUAGACUUUCCAGAUUAAUGACAUUGUGUGUUCCUACUUCCUUUUUCUACCAUUUUUGAGCAUAAAAAAAUUAUAGGAACAUGUUUGUGAUCCUCUUUAGAUUACAGUCAUAUUCUGAAAUAUAAAUUCACUAGAAUAGGAGAACCAUCUUAACUGAUUAAACUUUUGUUAAGAAUGUGUUGGUUCCCCAAGUACACGUAAGUAUACGUGGCCGUCAAGUAAUAAAGUGACUCGAAAGUCGGAUGUCGAAUCCAGAGAGACUUAGAUUAACCGUUAACUAAGCAACCUAAAUUAAUUUACUGUCCAAGAUGAUCUAAAGUUUAACUUUUCUAUUACAACUACUAUUGCAAAAUUUAAACACGUAACCCAAGGGAGAUAUAGAUUCCAGGGUUGUGGUCGGUUUAUCAAUCCUAUUGAGUUCGUAAUUACACCUGUUAAUCCAAAUUAUCUAUGAUUGCUAGUUGACCGGAUCGUUUAUAUAAAUAUUUUGUUCCCACAAUACUAUCUGUCUAUACAUAAUAUAUCAACCCUAUAUUCCUAUGGUCUUGAAUCUAUCAUGAAUGAAUAUAAUACGGUAUUCAACUAAGCAAGACUGUUAGGUAUUCCUAUCCUAACCACGAAAUCUUUCUCCGAGCUACGGGUUUAGAAACAAGCUCUCUCCAAUUUUACUCUAAUCUAAGCACGGCUUUCCCAAGCAUAGCAUAGAUAGUAAAUAGAACUCAACUGCUGGCCAAACAAUUAAGAAAUUAUGCACAGAAUUAGAGAAACAACCAAAGAUGAUAAAUCGAAUUAACGGCAAUAUAAUUAAUAAACUUCAAUAUUCAUGACAACUACAACCCUAGAACGUGAAGUUUAUCUCUACAUAGACAUUGUAGCAAAACAAUAAAUCAUCAAAAAAAAGUAAAGAUUACUAAGUUUGAUGGAAGAAAGAUGGAAUUUGAUGAAUUCUGGCCUCCACGGCGGCUCCGUGCUCUCCCUUUGUCUAAAGUCUGUCCAAAAUUGUCCUCUCCCUUAAACAAUGGUGUUUAAUGACUAUUUAUAUAUGUAGGGAAAAAACUUAGACGAAAUAAGCAAGUCCAAAACCAAAAAGGAGACAAAAUAGGCUUGAGACCCGGACCACGCGUCGCCACGCAAAACGCGCGACGGACCUCGCGUCAAACUGCGCCUAGCGAUCUCAAACGCGCGGAAUUUCUCUCGCGUCGCCUGUCACUGUUUCAUUUUCAAUUUUGAUGCCAAACUUUUUCCUAACUUUCUCGUUUCUUUUCUUUGCUUUUCAACUCUUAGUUCUCUUCUUUUUUUUUUUAUUAUCACCCCAUCAUUAUGUCUUCAAUCAUCAAAUCAUGACAUCAUAAUAUUUCCCAUCAUCAAAUAAUCACGAGCCAUUCUUGUAGUGCAUAAAAUACACAUAAAUUUUUUAGUUCGCUCCCAAUUUCAUCUUCAAAGUACCUACACAUAAAAUACAUUCAAUUAAGCAUAAAUAUAGUAUAAUUUAGCAUUAAAGCACCUAAAUGUAACGUAAGUAAUGCACUAAAAAUAUAUAAUUAUAGCCAAACAUCACUAUCUCACACUUAAACGUUGCUCGUCCUCGAGUCAACCAACAAUUCACACUAUCCUUGAGCACUUUGUUUUUACACAAUUGAGGCACACUACACCAAUGACAUGGUUUAUAACAACAAUUAAACUUUAGCAUGUGCAAUCACAUACACUUCCCUUUUCUUAUGCCAUACUUCACUAAUAUUCACAACAAAGACAACAUGCUCCUAACAGUCCUACCCUCAAAAACCAACUCAAUGUCACAAUGCACUCAUGGCUUGAACACCCAACAAUACCAUAGAGAGAAGUUUAAUAACCUUACCUAUCCCUUAUGAAACCAUGUGCCCUUACAACAAGAACAAGAGAGUAAGUUGAAUCCAUACAUUCAAAUCAAAUGCUCAAAUAUAUUUUAAGGACUCAUAUAUAUCAAAGAAAAUCUCUCUCUCUCACAAAAGAAGUCACAUGCAUGCAAUUGACACCAUAGGCUUGCCCUUAAUGUAAAUCUCUACUAAUGUAGGUUCACUCAGUCUAAAAUCAAUUAGGACUUUUUUAUGGUUGUAAUGUGGGCUAAGGGACGGGAAGAAUAUAUUUAGGAAUAGUGGCUAACCCUCCUAGGCACUUUAACACAUCACAUAAUCAACUGUAAGCGCAAAUUCUUCAAUCGCAAUUUUAAUUUCACAACUAAAAUCAUCCCUAACAACGUUACCUCUUUCUUUAAGCACUACUUUAAUUCAUUCCCACUAGGAAGAACAAAAUAUCAGUUUAUUCAUCUAAUUUUUUUUUUCUUUCUCUUUUGCAAUUUCUACUAGUGGUGUAUUCUUUUACAAAACAAGUGCACCUUUCACUGGUUCCACUCAAAAGUCACCCCAUACUUAGUCCCUUCUUACUCCUUUUAGCACUCAUCUCACAAUUAAAGUGUUUUAAGAGGUAAAAGGAUCAAAACAAUGUCAAUUUAGAAUAAAAGAGGUUUAGGCUUGUAAUGUGGGAGCCAAAUAAAAGUCUAUAAGCUCAAAAUGGUUAACUAGGGAUAUAUUUUAUUUGUGAUAAGUAUUAAACUAAAAAAAAAUAAAGAUAGCCUAAAAUCAUUUUUCAAACCGAGUAUCACCUAAAAUUUCGCUUCGACUCACAUACCGGGCAAGUUCUAGACACAAUUACAAUACAUAGACUACACAAAAAUCUCACCACACAUGGCACAUGACUCACUAAGGACGGUUUCAUUCCGACUCUCAAACUAAUGCAAGUAUUCACGGAGCCACGAGAUGUUAAGCAUUAAGCAUAAAGUGAACAUAAGUCAAGAAAAUAAGACAUAGGCGUCACAAAACAUGCUAUCCAUAUAACCAAGGCAUCAUAAGCACUUUUAGCACAUAGGGAAGAUACUACGCAUGCCAAAGCCUAAAUAUGCUACUAUCAACCAAGUCAAGGGCGCCUAGGAAUCUCAUCUUUCUUCCUCCAUUUAUUCCUUAAUUUCUAAUCUGCUCUAAAAAAUAAAAAAAAUAAAAGGAAAAAAUACUAACCCGGUUNNNNNNNNNNNNNNNNNNNNNNNNNNNNNNNNNNNNNNNNNNNNNNNNNNNNNNNNNNNNNNNNNNNNNNNNNNNNNNNNNNNNNNNNNNNNNNNNNNNNNNNNNNNNNNNNNNNNNNNNNNNNNNNNNNNNNNNNNNNNNNNNNNNNNNNNNNNNNNNNNNNNNNNNNNNNNNNNNNNNNNNNNNNNNNNNNNNNNNNNNNNNNNNNNNNNNNNNNNNNNNNNNNNNNNNNNNNNNNNNNNNNNNNNNNNNNNNNNNNNNNNNNNAAUUAAGCUACUAAAAUACUACACAACUACGAAAACAAAAAUACGAAGCUAAAAUCAAAAUAAGAAGUUAACAUUUUCUAACAUACUACUACAUAUUUUGAGGAAUUCUCCCACCUCACACUUAAAGGAGUGCAGUGUACCCAAUGCACAAAUAAAGCAAAACAAUAACGAGGGAGGACAAGAAACUCCCUGAAAGGCCAAAGGCUGAAGUAAUAGCGGCUCACGGGUACUCAGACUUCCCCCAGACAUGGUCCUUUGUGUGGUCACCCCACACUUUGUUCUCACCAUCUAGCUCACUUUUGCACUCUUCCAAUGGCUUUUCCUCCUAUGCUUAUAAUCCUACAAAACAAAAACAGACACUACAACAAUAAUAAGAUAAAAAUAAAAAUAAAAAAAAGCAGUAAAACUGGGUUGCCUCCCAACAAGCGCCCGAUUUAACGUCGCGGCACGACUUGUAGCACUUUUUGUCUCCACCUUGAACUUAUGAAUUGUACCCCUAACAAGGCAUCUAGUCUGUGGCUAUGCUCCUUCGGUGGGGCUACAAAGUAAACCAGGCCAAGCAAUAAAAUUUUUGCUCUACACCUCUUGACCUUUAGAUGAGGAAUGUAAUUUUUGCUUUUUGACACAACACAUUCAAGAACAUAGGCACCCCGUUCCUCGUCCAUUGGCUCCUCCAAAUGCUCAGAUGACUCGAUUUCCAUGUCAUCAUCCAAACACAAUGUUGAAAAAUAUAUGGAAUGAGGACCAAUACGCCCCAACUCUAGAAUUGUAUUACUCUUUAUAUUCUCAUAUGUACACACAUUGGAGUCUUCAAAUAUAAUAUUAUCUACUUCCUCACAUGACUCUAGAACACUCAUCUCAGCAUUGGCAUCCUCAAGAAAAAUAUGGUCUAAUGCUUGGUAUUCUCGUUUUAGCUCCUCAAUUUGGUCUAGAAGAUUUUUUUCAGUUUCACACAACUCAUCAUUAAAUUGUUGGGCGUUGAACGCAUCAACCUUUGCACUCAAAUCUGCAUCCAAGUUGUGCAAAGCCAAGCCAAACUUGUCAAAUUUUUGUGCAAGAUCAACUCUCUCCUUCGACUAGUCAUUCACCAACUUUGUUAGAAGAUAACGUCGUUCCUCAUAUUUCCUUAAUCGUGAAUAUUCGUUCCAAUACCAAGCUUUACUCCCAUAUUCAAAUUCAGACCUUCCAGAGUUCAGGUCAUGACAAGCCCCAAAAGACGGGCCAUAAAAAUCUUCCGUCAACCAAGCGUCUUCAUCAAUAACCUUACCUCCGGAUAUUUCAUCCCCAGAUAUCAUGUUGAGAGAACAAUGAACACACUAAGAGAAAGAUCAAACUGUUAUAAAAAUAAAAAAAUUUACAAAAAGAAAAAAAUAAACAAAACCUAUAAAUAUAAAAGUAAAAGUCUAAUCUAGAAAAAUAACUAAAUAAGAAAAUUAAAAACUUGAACAAAAAUCAAUUAAAAGUUUAACUUAGAUAAACAAUCAAUAACUAAGUCCCCGGCAACGGCGCCAAAAACUUGUUGGUUCCCCAAGUACACGCAAGUAUACGUGGCCGUCAAGUAAUAAAGUGACUCGAAAGUCGGAUGUCAAACCCAGAGAGGCUUAGAUUAACCGUUAACUAAGCAAUAUAAAAUCAAUUUACUGCCCAAGAUGAUCUAAAGUUUAACUUUUCUAUUACAACUACUAUUGCAAAAUUUAAACAUGUAACCAAGGGAGAUAUAGAUUCCAGGGUUGUGGUCGGUUUAUCAAUCCUAUUGAAUUCGUAAUUAUACCUGUUAAUCCAAAUUAUCUAUCAUUGCUAAUUGACCGGAUCGUUUAUAUAAAUAGCAUGUUCCCACAAUGCUAUCCGUCUAUCCAUAAUAUAUCAACCCUGUAUUCCUAUGGUCUUGAAUCUAUCAUGAAUGAAUAUAAUAUAGUAUUCAACUAAGCAAGACUCUUAGGUAUAUUCUUAUCCUAACCACGAAAUCUUUCCUCGAGCCACGGGUUCAGAAACAAGCUCUCUCCAAUUCUACUCUAAUCUAAGUACGGAUUUCCCAAGCAUAGCAUAGAUAGUAAAUAGAACUCAAUUGCUGGUCAAACAAUUAAGAAAUUAUGCACAGAAUUAGAGAAACAACCAAAGAUGAUAAAUCGAAUUAACGGCAAUAUAAUUAAUAAACUUCAAUAUUCAUGACAACCACAACCCUAAAACGUAAAGUUUAGCUCCACAUAGACAUAGUAGCAAAACAACAAAUCAUCAAGAAAAAGUAAAGAUUACUAAGUUUGAUGGAAAAAAGAUGGAAUCUAAUGAAUUCCGGCCUUCACGGCGUCUCCGUGCUCUCCCUUCGUCUAAAGUCUGUCCAAAAUCGGUUUCUCCCUUAAAAAAUGGUGUUUAAUGACUAUUUAUAUGUGUAGGGAAAAAACUUAGACGAAAUAAGCAAGUCCAAAACCAAAAAGGAGACAAAAUAGACUUGAGACCCGGACCACGUGUCGCCACGCAAAACGUGCGACGAACCUCGCGUCAAACAGCGCUAGCGAUCUCAAACGCGCGGAAUUUCUCUCGAGUCGCCUGCUGUUGUUUCGUUUUCAAUUUUGCUGCCAAACGUUUGCCUAACUUUCUCGUUUCUUUUAGGCUUUUCAACUCUUAGUUCUCUUUUUUUUUUUUAAUUAUCACCCCAUCAUUAUGUCUUCAAUCAUCAAAUCAUGACAUCAUAAUAUUUUCCAUCAUCAAAUAAUCACGAGCCAUUCUUGUAGUGCAUAAAAUACACAUAAAUUUUUUAGUUCGCUCCCAAUUUCAUCUCCAAAGUACCUACACAUAAAAUACACUCAAUUAAGCACAAAUAUAUUAUAAUUUAGUAUUAAAGCACCUAAAUGUAAGGUAAGUAAUGCACUAAAAAUAUAUAAUUAUAGCCAAACGUCAUAAUGCAAGAUAGAAAACACCUCUAAUAUCCUUCAGUUGCCUAGAGUUUCAAGCUUCGUAGCAUUCUUAUUCAUAAGUUCUCAGGAAUAUGUAACACUCAAUGCAUUAUUUGUUUAUGCCCUUGAACUCUUUUCUUCUUUCUAAUUUUCUUUUGUAUUGGAAAGCAGGUGCAACUUGAACAAUUUUGUGUCUCUGGGAGUAAAAUAAGGGAGCUUGCUAUGCCAUGAUCCACGAGUAUGUCAAUCAUCGUGCUUACAUAACUUUUAAAAUUACAAAAUCUCCUUUUCUCUCUCUUUCGCUAUUCUGCUAUUUCCUUUAUGCUUUGCUACUUCAACAGUUGAAUGAGAAGUUCAGGAUGUCAUCUUUCUUUAGGUGAGUGGUUCAAUUCUUCUGGGCUUCUCUGGAUCUAUAUGUUUGAAUUUUCUUCUCUUUUUAUCUUUAUAUUUCGUUCAUGAAUUCUGUUUUUGUUUUCUUCUGAGUUUACUUUAUGCUUGCUACAAUCUUCUAGCAUCUACUGUGUUUGUGAAGUCAGGUAAAUUUUCUUCCAUGUUUCUUUAUUUCUUGCGUUGUGUUCCCACUUCUGGCUUUCACUUUUAGAUUUCUAUGAACUUUUUGUCUAUUUUUUGUUUGAUGUUGGUUUCUCUGUUCUUUUAAAUAAUUUCUUGCAAGAUUUUCUACAUGCAUGUCUGGUAUUUUAUUUGAUUUUUAUAUGCAUGUUUGGAAAGAAAUACCUAGGUGCAUGUCCUUAAUUUCUGAUUUUGGUUUUGUUCUGAGUUUAGCUGUAUUAAUGGGGGUUUUGGUGUAAAAAUUUGUUAUUUAAACGCGAAGAUUGUGUCCUUUAUCUACUGGUUAUUCACUCUUUUUGAGUUUCUCCACUUUUCUUCUAUUUGUAUAUGGUGUGAGAUUUUUGAUUGCAAAGUUACUUGUGCAAGCUGCGUUUUUCUAAAUAAAAGCUGCUAAGAUAAAACUUUCUUUAACUGGGGUAGUGGCGGUUUUUCACGUUACAGCCAACGUCACAUUCAUCGGUGAGUAUUUUGAUUCAAAAUUCACUUAUGUUUGUUUCGUGAUACAUUGAAGUGCUUGAAUUAACCCUAUACAUUUUAUAUGUGGAUGUUCGUUUUCCUGGUCCUAUUCUUUUUGUCAUUCUGAAAGAAAACUGUGUUAGAGUUGUUAACCAAUUCCUAUUGACUUCUGAUUUAAAAUAGAAGCUUCUGACUUUAUAGCUGAAUAUAGUCUAUAGUAGAUUUCUUUAACUGGUUUCUAUAUUCUAAACCAUAUACAUUAUACCUUAUAUAUGUCUCCUCAAGUUCCUAUAUUUUACUCUCCAGUACUUUGCAUCAGUAUUAAAGUAAUUAAGUUACCUAAUGCUUCUCUAGAUACUGACUUAACAUACUACUAAGUAUAAAAAUGACAACAGAGAACUGAAAGGAAAAAAAGACUAAGCUACCUGUUAAAAGUCCGAAAAUUAGCGGAGAAGCAAUGUUGGUGAAGGAACAUAUGCAUGUGAUGCAUCCUUGAAAGGAGUUGUGACUCCCCAAACCUGAAAAGGCGUGACCGGCACCCGAUGCCAUACUCGGUCCGAGUGUACCACUCUGUAACUGUGAACUCUGGAGGGGUAACCCUCAACUUAGUCCGAUGAGACCAUAUUCUGAAUCAUCUGAAAAUAUCGUCUCUCAUUUGAAGGGUAAACAUACCCAAAAGCUCAUAUAUGUAUAUAUAAAUAACUGUGCAGGCUGACGAGGCCGCCAUGAACAUCUACUGAUAUACAAAUUAUACAGGAUUCGUCUACAAGCCUCUAAAGAUAGCUGAACUGUAUCAUGGUCGAGACAGGGCCUCGACCUACCCAUCAAACCUGUAUAUAUAAAAUGGACUCCAAGGUCUAGACCUGGUAACUCCGAGGAAGUGCAGUUUACCAACCGAGCUGAUGUUUGACUCUAUCUACUAUGAAGGUCUAUCCAGCUGUCUAUCAGGACCUGCAGGCAUGAAAUGCAGCAUCCCCAGCAAAAAGGGACGUCAGUACGAAAUAAUGUACCGAGUAUGUAAGGCAACAGAAUAACCGAAAGCUGAAACUGAACUGAUAAUAUAAUAACUGAAAGUAACUGGGAGUCAAAGAUGAUCUAAAGAUAUGCUUACCUGNNNNNNNNNNNNNNNNNNNNNNNNNUAAAGUCCCGAUAAGCGAGAAUAUGAUAACUUAUGAGACUAGGAUAAUGUACAUAAAUUCAGGAAUAUGAACUUCUCUUUAUGUUUCGUUAUCAAAUACAUGUAGUUACGGGAUCAUGCCAAAAUGAAGAAAAGGUUUAGUCUUAACAUACCUUAUCACAAUCUGUCCAAUAACCAUGUUAAACGCGUCUCGUUGCACCUUAAUCUACAACAACGAUAACAAUACUAUCAUCAAGUUAUGGAAGGUACAACUAUCGCACAACAAACAACAAGCUUAUUUUAUAAUAAAACGGGCAGCAUCUCCCCUAUAAUCUUUACUUCCUCCCAAUUCGACAUAACACCAACAACAACAAGAACACAAUAAUAACAACAUGUAUACAUUAUUUUCCAACCUUAUAUACAUCACAAAAUAUCACAAGACAGCCCACACAUCCCAAUCAGUUUAUACACAAAACGUAACCCUAGUAGUGUCAAACAACUCGAAAAUGUAACGACGAACGACCAGCCAACCACCCUGCCAUUAUGUGGUGUUUCUCCACACCUUUUCUCCUCCCAAACUCCAUAAAAACAGUAGCAAAAGAGACAACAUAAUAGCAACACGAAACAGCCCCCAAAACAGUCCCACAAGUUCAGCAACUCAAAACUGAUUUUUCAGCUUACUAAAACACAUUUCGACUUGUCUUUUAUUUCAAAUUGAGCAACACAACCAAUAAUACAUAAUUAAGCCUCUUAUACUAUAAACCAGCCAUGAAUUCAACUUAAAAAUAAGUUCACAACCAGCCAACAGUGAUGCAACAACAAACAGCAUACUACUCUAUCGAAACUCGCUAGGUCUAGUCUUUACGAUCGAGUUACAACUCGUACAAGCAUAGAUAAUGGAAGGAAAAGCAUAAAUUUACCUUGGACUGAGUAGAACUCACGAAACCUAGUCCUUAUUCAUCAAAAACCAGUCCCCCAACGCAGCUACAAGAAGGAGAAAGAGAAACUAGCAAGGUGUACGGGGUUUUCGCCACUAGAAUCACAUUGUAUCACCCGAAAUUACCUAGGGUUUGUGUGGGAUUUUUGGGGAGGAGUUGCAAGGGUUCAAUCUGAUUUUGUUGGUCUGAGAAAUGAGUGAAAGGAAUGAGUUAAUAAGUCCUUAAAAGUCCCCUCUUGGCCGACUUUAGGAGUUUUAAUUGAGGCCUCUCAUUUUGGCAAGUAGGUGAUGCACCUACUUGUCACCUACCAGUCUGCGCACUCUCGCAAAAAUACGAAUAUCUCUCUACUACAAUAUUGUAUUAAUGAACAGUUUAAUCCGUUAGAAACUAGACUCAUAGAUCUUCAAUUAGAUAGGUAGAUCAUCCCGUAAUUCCAAGUGCAUUGGGAUAAACGCUCAGCUACAUUUGACCUAAUUUUCAGCAUAUUUAUGAAUGUAACUUCUAAUGAUCUUUGCCAACUUUUGUUCCACAACUCGCUUGACUUCAAAACAUAAUACGCGACUAUCAUAAGACUAAAAUAACUCAUAAUAUAAUAUCCUUAUCAUUUUGAGUACCCUAGUGUCACCCCAUAAGUACAUGUUAUAACAUUCCCAACUUAUCAACUUUCGACGAAACUUAUUUUCUUCAAUUCGUUUAGCUUCUAAGUCUUCCAACCCUCUUGGUACAUGCAGUUCAUGAUCUUAAAUAUUUAUAACCUCCAAGUUAACAUGAUUAACUUACUUUAUGUACUUUCAAAGAUGAUCUCAUUUCUGAGCUUAUAUCAAUUGACUUACGACGUACUCUCACGUACUGUAAUGACCUGACCGGUCGUUUUGAGCUUUAGCGCUUUGUUCGCCGGUUUGAGGCCUUGAGUAGCUUCACAUCAGAUAUUAUGACUUGUACGUGUGGUCGGAAUUAAAUUUUGUGAAGUUCGGAGUUGAUUCGGAUGGAAGAUUCUAAAUUCGGAAGCUUUAAGUUGAAAGAGUUGACUAUGGUUUGACUUUUGAGUAAACGAUCUCGGAAUCGGGAUUUAAAGGUUCCAAUAGGUUCGUAUGAUAAUUUCGGACUUGGGCGUAUGUUCGGGUUGAGUAUCGGGUCGCUCGGGAGCAUUUCGACGCUUAUUAUGGAAAGUUGGCAUUUUGAAGGUUUUAGAAUUUUUUAAAUUUGGUUUGAGGUGGACUUUGGUGUUAUAGAUGUCCGUUUGGGGUUCCGAGCCUUGGAAUAGGUUCGUAUCAUGAUUUAUGACUUGUGCGUAAAGUUUGGCGUCAUUUCGGAAUGUUUAAGUAUGAAUUAGGCGCGUUCGUCAAAGUUUGAAAGUUUAAAAGUUUAAAGAAAGAUUUUGAUCGUCGAUUCAUAGUUUUGAUGUAGUUUGGUGUGAUUUGAGGCCUCAAGCAGGUUUGUAUCAAGUAUUGGGACUUGUUGGUGUGAUUGGACGGGGCCUCGGGUGUGUUUCGGAGGGUCUACGAGUCAUUUCGCCAUGUUGAGCUGCUAUUUUCUGAGGUCUGGUGUGCCUUUCUUCGCGUUUGCAAGGAAAGGGUUGCAUUCGCGAAGAGGAAAAUGGGAGAAAAGAGUCUGUGAAUCGCGUUCGCAGAGGCAGAUUUGCGUUCGCGAAGAAGAAAUUUCUGCUGCACAGGGCUUAUGUUGGAAGCUUAUAUUUUGCAAUCUGUAAGGAAUUUGGAGAUGAUACAAAAAUGAAAGUUGUAGACCUUGGUGUCUAGUUUUUAGAAUGUCAAACCAUUUGGAAUUUGGAGUUUUGUACAAAAGGUUAUGACUAUUAUACUCGAGGCUGUCUGGAGGAGUUGGGCAGCUUGCUCUUCGCGAUCGCGAUUGGUUUUCCGCGAUCGCGAAGGGCAAUUUUGAGCUGAGAAAAGUUGUGCUUUGCGCUCGCAAAGAAUUUUUCGCGAUCGCAAAGGGUUAAUACCUGGGCAUAAGCUAUAUUUCAGAGGUUUGACUCAUUGUCACCUCAUUCCUUCCAUGAGAACCGACUUUGGGGCGAUUUUGGAGUGCCAUUUUCAUCAUCAAAUUUUAGGUAAGUGAUUUCUACACCUUGUGAGUUAAAUACAUGGUUUAUAUGUGGGUUAAAAUAUGAAUAUUUAUGGAAAUUGUGGGAUUUUAAGAGAAAAACCUAGAAUUUAAUAUUUUUGGAUUUUUACCACGAAAUUGAACAUGGAAUUGGAAAUAAAUCAUAUAUUUGAGUUCGUAGUGUUAUGGAAUCCGGGCACGUGGGUCUGAGGGUUGACUUUAUUGACUUUUUGAGCGGAGUUGAGAAUUGUUAUGAAUUGAUUUAUUAUGAGUAUUAGAGUAUAUUUUUAUUGGUUUGCACAUUGUUUGACUAGUUUUGGAGCAACGGGCAUCGAUUUGGGGUGUUAGAGUGGCGUUGAAGCCGGUUAUGGAACUUCAGAGCGAGAUAAGUCUCAUGUCUAACUCUGUGAGGGGGAAACUACCCCUUGGUGAUGUAUUUGAUAUGUGCUACUUGUUGCAAGGGCUACGUACGCACGAGGUGACGAGAGUCCGUACGUAGCUAGAUUCAUGUUAUGUCCGGGUAGACUUAGGUUCCCGCCAUACUAUAACUGUACUAUUUGAGCUGCCCAUUGCCUAUUAAAUUCGUUUAUUUUACGUUACAACUUGAGACUAGACUUGCGUAGAGUGAUAGACUUGCUAUUGUAGAGAUUUGACGGGUUGCAUGAUUAGCUGCAGAAUAAUUAUACUCCUCUUACGAAUUUCUCCCGUGCUAUGCGUUUUCCUCGAAAGGUUUUCCUUAAAAUCUAUAACUCACAUGUUUAUUCGUGAGUGGGGUCAAGGACCCGUUAAAGUUUCUUAUUCUAAUGGGAUUGGGCCGUUCGCCUCGGCAGCAUAAUAGAUACAUUUAUGAUUUGUGUCGUUCGACCCUCGGCAGUGCGCACAUUAUGAUGGGAUCGGGCCAUUCAGCUCCCCAAGAUUAUGUAUCACACUCUCAUGGGAGUGGGCCGUUCGCCUCGGCAAUAUAAUAGAUGUAUUCAUGGUUCGUGUCGUUCGACCCUCGGUAGUGCACAUAUUAUGAUGGGAUCAGGUCGUAUGCCUCGGCAUUUUUAUAAAAUACUCUUAUGGAAUCGUGCGUAAAUAUUUGACAAAAAGCCAGUGUAUCUGUGAGUUUUUCCUGAUUUGAACUGUGACGACCUAUCUGGUGAGGCCCAUUAUAUAUAUACUCCGGUUGAGGAGGUAACUGCUAAUUGAGAGCUCAAGUUUAUUGUUGAGAGGAGGAUUGUACCACGUAUUAUACUUGUUAUUCCGUGUAUUUACUCUGCCUCACAUCUGUUUACUUCUAUUGUAUUUGUCUUAUUGGGCCACUAGUAAGUGUCGAUGUCGACCCCUCUUCACUACUUCUCUGGGGUUAGUCUAGAUACUUACUGGGUACGCGUUGAUUUACGUACUCAUGCUACACUUGCUGCACUUAUUGUGCAGGUAAUAUAUAUUUCUGGUGGUCCUCUGGGCGCAGAGGCACAACAUUUGCGGGGACUUUACGGUGAGCUGCAUUCCAUGUUACGAUCCGCAGCAUACAGAGUCUCCAUCAAAGUUAUUUAUAUUCUCCUGUCUAACUUGUAUUCCAGAUAGAUGUUGUAUUUUAUUAUAUUUCCUAGUUAAUGCUCAUGCACGGGUUUUGGGGGUUCCUACAAGUUGUUUAUUAUUGUUGUUCGUGUAAAUAUUAUCAUUUAUCCUGUAAAUUCUAUUUUAUACUAUUUAAUUAAUGAAAAUUAUGAUUUCAAAGUAAUAAAAUGAGUAAACAAGUCGAUCAAUCACCGUUGGCUUGCCUGACGGCGGUGUUAGGCGCCAUUGCGACCUAUAGUAGAUUUUGGGUCGUGACAACUUAGUAUUAGAGUGUUAGGUUCACUUGCGUCUCACGAGUCAUGGGCAAGUCUAGUAGAGUCUUGCGGAUCGGUACGGAGAUGCCUGUACUUAACUUCGAGAGGCUACAGAGCCAUUAGGAGCACUUCCUUUCUUGAUUCCUCAUCGUGCGAUUUGAUUCCUUUGAGGCUUAUGCUUUUAUUUCCUUCCUACUCAAUCUUGUGCGACAUGAAACGCUUGUUAUCAAUGGGACAUCGAGGAGUUGUAGUGGUACUGCAGACGUGGUACAGGAUGUUUUUUUUCCUGCGUAUUCGGGCAGGCUAUCAUCAUCGCCUUGUGGAAGGAUGUUCUGUCAUUCAGCUCAGUAUCUGUAUUUCCUAUGGUUUUGAGGCUAUGCACAGAUUGCUAUGAUGUUCAUGCAUUGUUAUCGCACAGUGUUGGUGUUAUGGUAGGGUGCUUGUUUAUGUGUCGAGGCAGUGAAUGACUUGAAAGGAGGAUUUCUCAUUGCAUGAUUUAGAGAUUCGGUAUUUAGUUCCAGCGGAGGAAAGGCAAUUGGACUAUAGAUGUCCAGACUUUGGUUGAUGGAGUAAUGAGACUUGAUAUUUUCGAGCACGGUGGAAUUCUCAUUCGUGAUGUGGUGUCAUCGUCCUUGUUGAAUGCAUUAAGGUUCGUCGGUGUUAUGGUCUUCUUGAUUUGCCUUCGGGGCAGGGUGUUAUGAAAUGGUGCCUUAGAAGCGGUUGUCAAAGAUGGUGGUGUGUAGCGGUUUCAGAACUGAAUCGGUGUUUCUAAUGUUGAUGGCUCGAGAAAGAUGAUCUGUGACGAGGUUUAGAGUUGGUAGCAAUAUAUUAGUUCGGGUGCUACAAAGAUGGAUUUCGAUUUGAGGUGGUAUUGGGGCAGUGAAGGACAAGGAAGGAAUGGUGGGAGGUGUCUCACAGUGAUUGAAUUGCUAGCAGGUCAAGUACACACAACAGAGGUCGAGAAGUUGCUUAAGGAGAUGGGUUAACCGAAGUGGGAGUGACAGAGUAGCGUGUAGAUUCUGUGGUGGGAUAGCCACGUAUCUUGAGAAAGUUUAGGGCGAUUUGCGGAAUCGUGAUGGAAGGUGAUUUGGUCUACGAAUUUUAUUUAGGAUGGUGGCUAAUGUACCGAGGGAGAUGGAAUAUGGCAAAGAGGAGUUUGCUUGAAAUGAAGAGGGGUGUGAAGACUUGAUUAUCGUUUUUGGAUGCAACAUGACUCCGGGUUUUAAAUGUAUUGUCAGAUUUUCAGUUGAUGUCGAUGGGGAGUGAAAAGACUUCUACAACUGGUGGACGAGCAUAGGCUCAGGAGGGUUUACUCGAUUCGUGGUAGUUGUACCCAAUGCAGCGCCGUUGGAAGAUGUCGGUAUGGAAUUUCCACAGGUGGGUUAUCUCCUGUGAACAGAUUGGCGGUUGCGUGAGGUUGAUGAACUUUCUACGAAGAAUUCUACUUACUACUCGGCAGGAGGUCGAGUACGCGAUUAUGGCUGAUAAUUCAGAAUGUUCAUGAAAAGUUUAAUAAGAAUCUACAAGAUAUUUGGCGGGUUGACGGUGCGAGAUCAUGGUAAUUGAGAAGGAGAAAUCCUUGCGGGUUCUAGGUUUAUAUAAUUGUAGCUUAAAGCUAAGUGGGGGAGCCCCACCAUCUAUGAAUGGAUCACGUGGUUGUCUGCUUGUGCGGUUUUUGGUUAUCGGUGUAUUGGUGGGUUAUUAUGACUAAGGAAAGAAAACAUCAUGGGUAAUUCGAGCAAAGAAAUUGAUAAAUGUACACUAUAUUAUGCCUUAUCGAUUCAUCUACAGGUUUUGGGAAGACUUAGAGUUUAUGCUUCUUGUGGAUGUCAUGUACAAGGAAAAGAAUUCAGUUGGCUGCUUCUUUGAGAGGGUGUUCAUGUGCUAGUAGAGCGUUGAAGUUUGGUUAUAUUCGGAAUCAGGUCAGAGUUGUAAUACCCCGGAAAAUUUUGAAGUACUUAAGUGGUAAGCCCGGUAAAUUUUGCAAAGAAAAUAAUGUUUCAUGGAGAAGCCGCGGCUCGGACUUUUUGGGUUGAACAAUGCACUGAAAAGUAAAGAAAAAUUUUCGGCGGAAAAGUGCAUUUAUGCGGUCCAUUAUGCGACCGCAGAAUCACUCUGCGGACCGCAUAAUGGCCGCAAAGUGAGGCAGUUAAUUGGGCCAAUUGGAAGCAAUUAUGCGAUCGACUAUGCGACCGCAUAACAGUUAUGCGGACCGCAUAGUGACCGCAUACACGGACAGUUCUUUUGGCUAUUUUGUAACCAACUAUGCGACCGAUAUGCGGUCCGCACAUCGGUUAUGCGAUCGCAUACCUUGUUCUGGAGCUUCAUUUUUGGGUUUUUAAAACUCGACCCUAUUUCGUUAAAUACACUCUUUGGGUCAUUUUUGAGCUAUUAUCUGACAUUUUAGAGUGAGAGAAGGUGCCCUAGAGUGAGAAGGUGUUCUCCAAUAUUUGUCCUUCAAUUCUUGCCCAAGUUUUGGAAGAUUAAAAAGGGAAACUCACUAGGUCUUCAUCCUAGAGGUAAGGUUCUACACCCUAACCCUCAAUUUCGAAUUUUGUGUAGAAAUGGAUAAUAAGCAAGAUAAUUUCUGGGCAAGAGGAUUGGUUAUUUUACAUGCAUGUAUUAUCAAAGGAUGUAGGAAGAUUGUUGAGCUAAAAAUGAUAAAUGAUUAGGUUGCGGGAUGAUAGAAUCCUCCAUAAAAAGGGCCUUGAAACCUUAAUGCACACCUAGUGUUUGAUAAAAUGCUCAAAUGAGCUAGAACCAUAAUCAUCUUCCUAAUUGUGGUUCAAUUUGUUAUAUUUCUAAAAUAAAUUGAAGUUGCUAAGAAUUCCGGAACGUUUUAGAGUUUAAGGAAGCUCAAUUGAGGUAUGUUGGCUAAACUCCUUGUAAGUUCCGAGAUGUUGAUUAUAAAUCGAGUAUUCCGAUAAGUUUUGUGAUGAAGAUAUAUGUUCAAUUCGUAUUUCAAAUGCUCUUAUCAUAUUGCAUUAUAAAUUGAGGAUGUGUCCCAAACUAUGGAUUACGUAUCCACAUGUUAUAAUUUCUAGUCGUAAUUUAUGUGAAAAUUAUUAUGCCAAGUUGUGUAGAGAUUGCGAUUGUGAUACACCUCCACCCGCAUACAUUGGGGUGAGGCGGCAUGACCGCUUUGUGUGGGGAUUAUGGUAUAGAGAUUGUUAUUGUGACACACAUCCACCCGCAUAUAUAUUGGGGUGAGGCGACAUGACCGCUUUGUGUAGGGAUCAUGAUAUUGUGGGACUGCACCUCCACCUGCUAACAUUGGGGUGAGGCGGUACGACCGCUUUGUGUAUGGUUUUGGUAUUGUUGUGGCACCACCACCCGCAUAUAUUGGGGUGAGGCGGCAUAGCCGCUUUGUGUUGGUAUUGGUAUCGUUGAUGCAUUUUCACACGCAUACAUUGGAGUGAGGCAGCAUAGUCGCUUUGUGUAGGUUCUUGGUACUGUGGUUAUACAUCCACCCGCAUAUAUUGAGGUAAGGCGGUAGGGCCGCUUGAUUAGCAUCGGGUAUUGUACGUACACCUCCACCUGCGUACAU
This 26723-nucleotide long non-coding RNA is filed under the name Nicotiana tabacum (common tobacco). Its description in RNAcentral is "long non-coding RNA (NTAB_LNC001766)". Lineage: Eukaryota; Viridiplantae; Streptophyta; Magnoliopsida; Solanales; Solanaceae. The record is from RNAcentral.